UGGCGCACGGGUGCGUAACGCGUGGGAACCUGCCCUUAGGUUCGGAAUAACAGUUAGAAAUGACUGCUAAUACCGGAUAAUGUCUUCGGACCAAAGAUUUAUCGCCUUUGGAUGGGCCCGCGUAGGAUUAGGUAGUUGGUGGGGUAAAAGCCUACCAAGCCGACGAUCCUUAGCUGGUCUGAGAGGAUGAUCAGCCACACUGGGACUGAGACACGGCCCAGACUCCUACGGGAGGCAGCAGUGGGGAAUAUUGGACAAUGGGCGAAAGCCUGAUCCAGCAAUGCCGCGUGAGUGAUGAAGGCCUUAGGGUUGUAAAGCUCUUUUACCAGGGAUGAUAAUGACAGUACCUGGAGAAUAAGCUCCGGCUAACUCCGUGCCAGCAGCCGCGGUAAUACGGAGGGAGCUAGCGUUGUUCGGAAUUACUGGGCGUAAAGCGCACGUAGGCGGCUUUUUAAGUCAGGGGUGAAAUCCCGGGGCUCAACCCCGGAACUGCCUUUGAAACUGGAAAGCUAGAAUACUGGAGAGGUGAGUGGAAUUCCGAGUGUAGAGGUGAAAUUCGUAUAUAUUCGGAAGAACACCAGUGGCGAAGGCGACUCACU
This 599-nucleotide ribosomal RNA is filed under the name Qipengyuania pelagi. Its description in RNAcentral is "bacterial SSU rRNA". It matches the Rfam family "Bacterial small subunit ribosomal RNA", at positions 96 to 730 of the family's 1533-position model. Lineage: Bacteria; Pseudomonadati; Pseudomonadota; Alphaproteobacteria; Sphingomonadales; Erythrobacteraceae. The record is from RNAcentral.